GUUCCUCCUGGGACAUCUGAUAAAAUUGGAAUGAUAUAGAGAAAAUUAGCAUGAUCUAUGUGAAAGAAUGAUACAAAGAAAUCAAGAAGUGGUCGAAGUCAAA
Molecule: small nuclear RNA, 103 nt
Organism: Lycium barbarum (goji berry)
Lineage: Eukaryota; Viridiplantae; Streptophyta; Magnoliopsida; Solanales; Solanaceae
Source: RefSeq, a predicted model, not a curated record